GACGGAGGAUGCAAGCGUUAUCCGGAAUGAUUGGGCGUAAAGCGUCCGCAGGUGGCAGUUCAAGUCUGCUGUCAAAGACCGGGGCUUAACUUCGGAAAGGCAGUGGAAACUGAACAGCUAGAGUAUGGUAGGGGCAGAGGGAAUUCCUGGUGUAGCGGUGAAAUGCGUAGAUAUUGGAAAGACCACCGAUGGCGAAGGCACUCUACUGGGCCACUACUGACACUGAGAGACGAAAGCUAGGGGAGCAAAUGGG
Molecule: ribosomal RNA, 253 nt
Filed under: uncultured bacterium
Lineage: Bacteria
Description: partial 16S ribosomal RNA
Rfam family: Bacterial small subunit ribosomal RNA
Source: RNAcentral